Molecule: ribosomal RNA, 373 nt
Filed under: uncultured bacterium
Lineage: Bacteria
Description: bacterial SSU rRNA
Rfam family: Bacterial small subunit ribosomal RNA
Source: RNAcentral
AUUGAACGCUGGCGGCGUGCCUAACACAUGCAAGUCGAGCGGUAACAGGUGUAGCAAUACAUGCUGACGAGCGGCGGACGGGUGAGUAACGCUUGGGAAUCUGCCUAUUAGUGGGGGACAACCCGGGGAAACUCGGGCUAAUACCGCAUACGCUCUACGGAGGAAAGCCGGGGACCGCAAGGCCUGGCGCUAAUAGAUGAGCCCAAGUCGGAUUAGCUAGUUGGUAGGGAAUGGCCUACCAAGGCGACGAUCCGUAACUGGUCUGAGAGGACGACCAGUCACACCGGAACUGAGACACGGUCCGGACUCCUAUGGGAGGCAGCAGGUGGGGAAUAUUGGACAAGUGGGCGAAAGCCUGAUCCAGCGACGCCGC